This is a long non-coding RNA of Drosophila pseudoobscura, 1550 nucleotides long. RefSeq lists it as uncharacterized. The transcript is spliced from 2 exons. NCBI's taxonomy places the organism in Eukaryota, Metazoa, Arthropoda, Insecta, Diptera, Drosophilidae. The record is from RefSeq and is a predicted model, not a curated record.
AAAUCAAAAGAAAAAAAAAAAAGAAAGGAAAAGGUCGAACAAGGUACACUUUAGGUACACUUUCUAGAAAGAUACUUUUCAUACCGCCCUCGCUAGCAUAGCUCGAAGAAAUUGGUGGAAUGCAGGAGAUCCAGAAGAUCAUCCGAUUGCACAGUUAUGUUAAAGCUUAAAGCUCAGCUUAGGCAUGCAAUAGGUACAGGCGAAUAGACUUUAUUCAUGUGAAAUCAUUCCCCUGCAUAGUUUCACUUACGGCACACGUAUAUAUAGAUUUUCGUGAUUUUCGCAAUCGCAGAGUGAAUGGUGAAGACACGUGGAGUUACAUAACUUCCAAUUUUUCACUAUUAUCUAAUCAUCCGCUGUUUAUAUGGAUUAAUAAAUCCGAAGAGUGGCGUUAGCUGAACUACCCGAGGGAAAAGUGAAAAUAAAGUGAAAUUCUUGAAAGAAGCAAAGGUACGUUAGUCCACCGUGGAAAGAUAAGGUUCUGACACAGUUUUAUUUAGGGAUAGGAGUACUGGAAAAUCUUAAUACAGCCAAGCCGGCCAACCAAUCUACGGUAUCAACUACUAAAACAACCAAGCUGACCGUUUGGGAGUUAGUGCAGUGCACAUCCACGGCGGCAAAGUGAAGGCUGAACCGUUGACGUUGGGCUAGCUCAAUAUCGGAAAUCAUUUACGGCUCGUGAAAGACCAACCACCAUACACCACUGCUGGACGUCCGAAUUUCAGUUUGAACCUGCCGAUCUCAUAAAAAAAGCCGGAGGACAUAAUCGUCACCAACCUACGAAAACUUACAAAGGAUUGAUGCAUACAAAUGAAUCCGUCAAAGUCAUCUUGGGCCCAACGAUACACCGAUGAGUUUAACCAAUUACUGUGAGUACCACUAGUGGCUGAAACCACAAUGUCUAUACACCAAUGCAGGCGUAAGUUUGUUGAAGUAGAUAUAUAUAUACUGAUUUGAAAGAAUAUUACCCCCCUCAAAUGCUCAAAUAAUUAAGUUUUUUUUUGCUGAUCCAAGAAGAAGGAAGUCUGUAUAUUUUUGUUUAUUUGUAAAUGUAAGGAAUCGGAUUAUAUCUGUAAUUAAUGUAAAAAAAAUAUAUAUAUCAAUACAAUCUCACAUGGUUAGGGACAUUUAACAUAAAAAUAAAAGGAAUUUGUAAUCAUGAAUAUGUCUGCCUAAACUAAAUAUUAUCUCCGUCCGUCAAGUACUUAUGCUUAUCUCCCUCAAAAUGCACUAGAAGAUGUUGGAUCUUUGAAUUGGGACAACGCCCGAAUGUAAACGCGUUUGUCAUGGUUGGGUGGGUAAAGACUAGGGACAUAUAUCACCGCUGUUCCCUCCAUCAGACAGAAGACGAACUACACUUUUUCUAAGCGUUUUCUAAAUGCGUAUCGGCGCAGAGUGGAAAUAAGUUUUUGUUAUUGGUUAUUGAUAUUAACGUCGAGAUCCUGCUUAUUUUUUUUUUUUGAAGCGCAUUAUAUUGAUUUGUGUCAGGAAAACUGUGUAGCUAGGGGAGAAAGAACCCCGACCAAUCCGACGAGCUGGACCCGAGCACA